UAGAGGAAGUAAAAGUCGUAACAAGGUUUCCGUAGGUGAACCUGCGGAAGGAUCAUUACCGAGUGAGGGCCCUCUGGGUCCAACCUCCCACCCGUGUUUAUUUUACCUUGUUGCUUCGGCGGGCCCGCCUUAACUGGCCGCCGGGGGGCUUACGCCCCCGGGCCCGCGCCCGCCGAAGACACCCUCGAACUCUGUCUGAAGAUUGUAGUCUGAGUGAAAAUAUAAAUUAUUUAAAACUUUCAACAACGGAUCUCUUGGUUCCGGCAUCGAUGAAGAACGCAGCGAAAUGCGAUACGUAAUGUGAAUUGCAAAUUCAGUGAAUCAUCGAGUCUUUGAACGCACAUUGCGCCCCCUGGUAUUCCGGGGGGCAUGCCUGUCCGAGCGUCAUUGCUGCCCUCAAGCACGGCUUGUGUGUUGGGCCCCGUCCUCCGAUCCCGGGGGACGGGCCCGAAAGGCAGCGGCGGCACCGCGUCCGGUCCUCGAGCGUAUGGGGCUUUGUCACCCGCUCUGUAGGCCCGGCCGGCGCUUGCCGAUCAACCCAAAUUUUUAUCCAGGUUGACCUCGGAUCAGGUAGGGAUACCCGCUGAACUUAAGCAUA
Molecule: ribosomal RNA, 598 nt
Filed under: Ascomycota sp. UNEX FECRGA 2012E635
Lineage: Eukaryota; Fungi; Ascomycota
Description: eukaryotic LSU rRNA
Rfam family: 5.8S ribosomal RNA (bases 235-387)
Source: RNAcentral